RNAcentral lists this long non-coding RNA (602 nucleotides) under Elaeis guineensis (African oil palm). RNAcentral's name for it is "long non-coding RNA (EGUI_LNC047616)". Lineage: Eukaryota; Viridiplantae; Streptophyta; Magnoliopsida; Arecales; Arecaceae. The record is from RNAcentral.
CUGUACACUGAAAAAGCAUCCAUAAAAUUGAGAAGCUGAUGACCUAAGAUGGCAUCAACAAGUUGGUCAAUCCUUAGAAGGAGAAAACAAUCUUUCAGAAAAGUCUUAUUGAGAUCAGUGCAUUCAAUGCGAACUCUCUAACUUCCAUUAGCUUUCUUAACUAGCACCAUAUUGGCUAUCCAUUUUAGGUAGUCAAUUCAUGUUUGAUCCCCGCUUGCAAGAGCUUGCUAACUUCAUCUAUUAUUUGUUGUCAUUUUGGGGAAGCUUCUCUUGUUCUACUUAAGUAGUUGGCACUUCAGAUCUACAUUUAACCUAUGCAUUAUUACAAAAGAUCCAUAUCUAGCAUGUUGGAGGUUGACCAAGCAAGCACAUCGAUGUUGGAGCAAAGGAAUUGAAUAAGUUGGCUCUUCACUUCCUCGACAAGCAUGGAACUGAUCUAGAUAGCUCCACUGUCCUCUUUGGUGAAGAGUGGGAUAGAGAGGAGUUCCUUCACUGGCUCUCCAUGUUGCUCCUAUUCAAGUCCUUCAAUGGACAAUGGUUCUAGGUGUGUAGCACUUCUUUGGAGGGUAGCUACAUAGCAUUCUCAGGCCAUGGCCCAAUCC